GAUCAUGGCUCAGGAUGAACGCUAGCUACAGGCUUAACACAUGCAAGUCGAGGGGCAGCAUGGUCUUAGCUUGCUAGGGCCGAUGGCGACCGGCGCACGGGUGAGUAACACGUAUCCAACCUGCCGUCUACUCUUGGACAGCCUUCUGAAAGGAAGAUUAAUACAAGAUGGCAUCAUGAGUCCACAUGUUCACAUGAUUAAAGGUAUUCCGGUAGGCGAUGGGGA
RNAcentral lists this ribosomal RNA (225 nucleotides) under uncultured bacterium. RNAcentral's name for it is "partial 16S ribosomal RNA". It matches the Rfam family "Bacterial small subunit ribosomal RNA", at positions 15 to 231 of the family's 1533-position model. The record is from RNAcentral.